GCUGGGCAUGGUGGCGCGUGCCUGUAGUCCCAGCUGCUCAGGAGGCUGAGGCAGGAGAAUUGCUUGAACCCAGGAGGCGGAGGUUGGAGUGAGCUGAGAUCACACCACUGCACUCCAGCCUGGGUGACAGAGUGAGACUCUGUCUCAA
RNAcentral lists this non-coding RNA (148 nucleotides) under Nomascus leucogenys (northern white-cheeked gibbon). The record is from Rfam by way of RNAcentral. Lineage: Eukaryota; Metazoa; Chordata; Mammalia; Primates; Hylobatidae.